RNAcentral lists this non-coding RNA (193 nucleotides) under Clostridium tetanomorphum. The record is from RNAcentral. Lineage: Bacteria; Bacillati; Bacillota; Clostridia; Eubacteriales; Clostridiaceae.
UAAAUACUUAAAUUAUUAGGUGUUACUAUGAAAAUAGUAAGUAAAAGGGAAAGUGGUGAAAAUCCACUGCAGCCCACCGUUACUGUAAUGUUGAUGAAACCGUAUUUUAAGCCACUGGAUGAAAAUAUAUCUGGGAAGGCAAGAAAGUAAAAUGAAACUAAGCCAGGAAACCUGCCUAAUAUUUGUCUAUUCU